RNAcentral lists this ribosomal RNA (95 nucleotides) under Clostridium frigoris. Its description in RNAcentral is "partial 16S ribosomal RNA". It matches the Rfam family "Bacterial small subunit ribosomal RNA", at positions 1 to 93 of the family's 1533-position model. Lineage: Bacteria; Bacillati; Bacillota; Clostridia; Eubacteriales; Clostridiaceae. The record is from RNAcentral.
UAAAUUGAGAGUUUGAUCCUGGCUCAGGACGAACGCUGGCGGCGUGCCUAACACAUGCAAGUCGAGCGAUGAUUCGCCUCUUCGGAGGCGUUAAU